CCUGCAGUCUUGUCACCGAUAUUUAAAAAAAAAGCCGCUACGUCACUUCGUGUCGUCUGCUCAGAGCUGCUGUGUUUACCUGCAAGGGCCCUAACACUCGGCAAUACUGUUUAACAUUGUUAGCUUCGACCUUCACGUGUUAAACACAAAACAGUACAUCUAUUACUUGUUCCGUUAAAAACAACUGUGGUUUAUGUUUUUAAGCUUUUUAUGGAUUAUAGCGACCUCUGUACGGUGAUAAGUCCCCAGUGUUUCUCAAAUUUUGACCUGUGAAGCUCCACUAGUCGAACACAUUUCGUGCACUCUCCAAAGAAAUGUGAGGGGAGGUGCAAACAGCGCAUGUACGUGUGGUGAUCGUCUGUUAUCUUAAGUAAGACUUCUGCAACAUACAGUUUAUUUUAUCCAUCAAAAGUCUGGAUGAUGCAAGACAGCGAGCAACAGUUGAACCUUUCUGACUUGAAAAAUUCGAGUAAAAUAAAAACAAUACCAACAAUUUUGAUUCGAUCUUCUUUCAGACGCCUCUUGAGAAAACGGUAUAUAUUCUACAAGGUCAUACUUAUACAAUGAAACGACCUUUCUUAUUUAAAUUGUUUAAAUUUUUGAAACUAUGGAAAUAAUGUCAACUUUACCUUAUUAACAUCUUAGAGUUCAUUUGUAACUACAAUUUGUAAUGCUUGUACUUGAACAUAAACUGAAUGCCUUCGAGAUCCCCCCUUCCCUAAUCAGUAAAAAAAAAGGUGGUGUCCCACAGUUUGAGAAACGCCACUCUAUUCUAAUCAAUAUUUAGAGUGCUUCUUCUUUUUUUUUUUUUCGUUAUUCCCUUCCUUUUUUUUUGCAAAGCAUAAAUUAACCGUCUCCGUCUGUCUGUCUGUCUGUCUGUCUGUCAGUAUUCUUUUACACUUUUUUCUUCCACUUCCAAUUCUUGGAUCACUUUAACACUUGGCACAAUUAUUCAUUGCCGACUACCAUGAAUAAAAAAAAACACAACAAACCAAUUAUUUAAUUAAUUAGUGAUAAUUAAUCAAUUGUUUUCUAUAAAAACGAAAAUAAAUCUUGUAGUAUUGAGAGAAAUGACAGUUAUUGAGCGUUUCUUUCUCUUAUACAAGCUAUAUUUUUAUAUUUUGCUGUUUUGUUGUUGUUGUUGUUUUGACAGAGUUUUCAGCAUCGCUAUAAGUCCAAAAUCUAUAUCACCUUUUAAAAACCUACAACCAAGUAUUGUCACUCAGGUCUUGAACCAAACUUCUCAAAAAUGUUGUGUGUGUGUGUGUGCGGUGUAUGUUUAUCUGCGCGUGCAAGAAGGUGCGUGUAUUCCUGUUGAUCAAGCGUGAUGCGGCCAGACAGACGAAUGUCUUUUGUUUAUUUCUACAGACAAACUUGAUGCUCAUGUCUGCUAGAACACGUCACGUGUUUUGUUUAAGCGGAAGUGACGUUAUUUGUUGACAGUCUCGAGCUUCCAUUAGCUCUUCAGCUGAAGAGCUCCCCGUGCCCGAUUAGCAAACCACUAACCAAUUUGGUUUUUUAUCAGUUUAGAUCUAGGUAGGUGGCGCUACCGAAUAGAGAGGUUCACGUUUGGCAUUCUUGGUAGAGAGUUAUUGGAACAAGUAUUUCAAAACUAUGUGGUCAUAGAAACAUCACAUGAUUGGAUUCCCUUUUUAUGGACUUUCUAAUGGGAACUGACAUGGGAACUGACAUAGGAACUGACAUCUUCCUGCUUUAGUUCUUUUCUCUUGUAUCUCUUGUCAACAUUUUUGUAGCACAACUUUCAACAUCAUGUUGUGUUCUGCAGCGUAUUUCUCAGCUAAAGACAAAGUUACUCUUAGUUAAGAGAAGGGAAUGUUUCCCAUUGGUUACUUUCUCCAGUCAUCCCUCCCUCCCGUUUUUUUCUCUUUGGGCUAUUGGCUGCUAAUCACAGCUCUCAAACAG
This is a long non-coding RNA of Biomphalaria glabrata, 1923 nucleotides long. RefSeq lists it as uncharacterized. The record is from RefSeq and is a predicted model, not a curated record. The transcript is spliced from 2 exons. NCBI's taxonomy places the organism in Eukaryota, Metazoa, Mollusca, Gastropoda, Planorbidae.